GUAGCGUAUAUUAAAGUUGCUGCAGUUAAAAAGCUCGUAGUUGGAUCUCGGCUCAAGCUCUGCGGUCCACUUGCCGGUGGUUACUGCUUAGCUGAGCGACUUACCAAGCCGUCUCUCGAUGCUCUUAACCGGGUGUCUUGAGCGAUUGGUACAUUUACUUUGAACAAAUUAGAGUGCUUAAAGCAGGCAUACUGCUCGGAUAACUUUGCAUGGAAUAAUAGAAUAGGACAUUGGAUCCUUUUUGUUGGUCUCUCGAUCCCGAUGUAAUGAUUAAAAGGGACAGACGGGGGCAUUCGUAUUGCGGCGCUAGAGGUGAAAUUCUUGGACCGUCGCAAGACGAACUACAG
RNAcentral lists this ribosomal RNA (347 nucleotides) under uncultured eukaryote. Its description in RNAcentral is "SSU rRNA". It matches the Rfam family "Eukaryotic small subunit ribosomal RNA", at positions 594 to 945 of the family's 1831-position model. The record is from RNAcentral.